This 97-nucleotide transfer RNA is filed under the name bacterium ADurb.Bin429. Its description in RNAcentral is "tRNA-Ser". It matches the Rfam family "tRNA". Rfam says of the family: Transfer RNA (tRNA) molecules are approximately 80 nucleotides in length. Their secondary structure includes four short double-helical elements and three loops (D, anti-codon, and T loops). Further hydrogen bonds mediate the characteristic L-shaped molecular structure. tRNAs have two regions of fundamental functional importance: the anti-codon, which is responsible for specific mRNA codon recognition, and the 3' end, to which the tRNAs corresponding amino acid is attached (by aminoacyl-tRNA synthetases). tRNAs cope with the degeneracy of the genetic code in two manners: having more than one tRNA (with a specific anti-codon) for a particular amino acid; and 'wobble' base-pairing, i.e. permitting non-standard base-pairing at the 3rd anti-codon position. The record is from RNAcentral. RNAcentral also lists the same sequence under 1 other name.
GGAGAGGUGGCCGAGUCAGGCUGAAGGCGCCCGCCUGCUAAGCGGGUAAGGGAGCAUUAAACUCUCUUCCCGGGUUCGAAUCCCGGCCUCUCCGCCA